This 478-nucleotide ribosomal RNA is filed under the name uncultured bacterium. RNAcentral describes it as "partial 16S ribosomal RNA". It matches the Rfam family "Bacterial small subunit ribosomal RNA", at positions 29 to 507 of the family's 1533-position model. The record is from RNAcentral.
AUGGACGCUGGCGGCGUGCUUAACACAUGCAAGUCGAACGAAGCACUUUAACCUGAUUCUUCGGAUGAAGGUUUUUGUGACUGAGUGGCGGACGGGUGAGUAACGCGUGGGUAACCUGCCUCAUACAGGGGGAUAACAGUUAGAAAUGACUGCUAAUACCGCAUAAGACCACAGAGCCGCAUGGCUCGGUGGGAAAAACUCCGGUGGUAUGAGAUGGACCCGCGUCUGAUUAGGUAGUUGGUGGGGUAACGGCCUACCAAGCCAACGAUCAGUAGCCGACAUGAGAGGGUGACCGGCCACAUUGGGACUGAGACACGGCCCAAACUCCUACGGGAGGCAGCAGUGGGGAAUAUUGCACAAUGGGGGAAACCCUGAUGCAGCGACGCCGCGUGAGCGAAGAAGUAUUUCGGUAUGUAAAGCUCUAUCAGCAGGGAAGAAAAUGACGGUACCUGACUAAGAAGCACCGGCUAAAUACGUG